GGGAAUGUGGCUUAGUGGUAGAGUGCUUGCCUAACAUGCAGGAAGCACUGGGUUCGAUCCCUCAGUACCA
RNAcentral lists this transfer RNA (70 nucleotides) under Dipodomys ordii (Ord's kangaroo rat). It matches the Rfam family "tRNA". Rfam says of the family: Transfer RNA (tRNA) molecules are approximately 80 nucleotides in length. Their secondary structure includes four short double-helical elements and three loops (D, anti-codon, and T loops). Further hydrogen bonds mediate the characteristic L-shaped molecular structure. tRNAs have two regions of fundamental functional importance: the anti-codon, which is responsible for specific mRNA codon recognition, and the 3' end, to which the tRNAs corresponding amino acid is attached (by aminoacyl-tRNA synthetases). tRNAs cope with the degeneracy of the genetic code in two manners: having more than one tRNA (with a specific anti-codon) for a particular amino acid; and 'wobble' base-pairing, i.e. permitting non-standard base-pairing at the 3rd anti-codon position. The record is from Rfam by way of RNAcentral. Lineage: Eukaryota; Metazoa; Chordata; Mammalia; Rodentia; Heteromyidae.